Molecule: long non-coding RNA, 1121 nt
Filed under: Chrysemys picta bellii (western painted turtle)
Lineage: Eukaryota; Metazoa; Chordata; Testudines; Emydidae
Description: lncRNA (ENSCPBG00000008213.1)
Source: RNAcentral
CUGGGGUGUCAGGCAGGGAGGGGGGAAGAGAGAGAGAGAAAAAAGCACGACUUACAUUAGCAGGGAAUAGUCAGAUCUGGGGCAUCAUAACGGCUAAGAUCAGACUGCAAGCCCAGCUGAAAGCAAGCCCAGGACUAGGAGAGAAAGGGAGACCGACAGACACGCGACUGUUCACACAUAUGUGUCCGGUCCCUCCUGAGACUUCACGGGGUCCUGGGUCUGUGUGGCUCCUCCUCAUGUGAUCCACUCAUCGUCUCCAGCGGAGAAAACGACCAGGCUUGAUCGGGUUCCUUCGGCUUCUCCUUCCCUCCCUUCCUUCCUUUAUUUAUUUGGGGGCAGCGGGAGGGCAGGAAGAGAAGCGCGGAGAGAAAGUGUGCUGGGGAUGCCAGCGCCCUGGGCUGCGCGUUGGAGGAGGAGGUGGAGGAGAAAGGGGGAGGAUGAUGCCGCUGCCUCCUAAGGGAGGAAGGAGAGAGAAGGGGAACGGAGCGCUCCGGAGAGGAGGCUCAGGCAAGCGCCAGCCUGCGGGGAAGCGGAGCCUGCAGGGCGGGCUCGGGCUCCGGCAGCUUUUCGCCCGCACCACAUUGGAUACUGCCAAAGGCGACCAGCACGGCCACCACCAAGGAGAAGCGCCGUCAGCUGCAGCAAAAGUUUUGGUGUGGGGGGCAAAAGGCGCAGAGGGGGAUUAUGAUCGGUGCCGGAGAAGGAUUCCCAGCCCUGCCAGGCUUCUCAGAUCCAUCAUCAAGCUGAAAUGAAGACCUUGGAGGCUGAAGAAAGCUGAGUGCACCACUACGUUGCUUCGGAGAAAGGAACUACUGGUCCAGCCAACCUUUCUCCUGACAACUUUUGGUAGCUUUAAAUUGCCGGUUGCUUACCUUGAAAGACACAGUUAUUGCUUUUUUCAGCACACAUGGAGGAAGGCAGAAAAGUGUGUAACCCUGGCUAAUCAAACUUUGGCUUUCCUAUGAAGAGCAGAAGGCCAAUCAUAAAAGAAUUAUUUCACAGUUAGCCUCCUGGACUUUACUUCUGACCUGAUCACUGGACACAAAUACAAGCCGAUUCCAACAAUCUGAGUUUUCACUACCUGUUCUUUAUCAUUGUUUUAAUUUCUCUUUCUUUGGUAU